This 310-nucleotide long non-coding RNA is filed under the name Lathyrus oleraceus (garden pea). RNAcentral's name for it is "Pisum sativum (pea) long non-coding RNA (PSAT_LNC000329)". Lineage: Eukaryota; Viridiplantae; Streptophyta; Magnoliopsida; Fabales; Fabaceae. The record is from RNAcentral.
AAGUGGCCCUUGCUACUUAUAGACCUCUGCUGGGCUGUCAUGUUCGCUAGGCGAGCAGAAUGGCUCGCCUAGCGAGGGUCUAAUAUGGGCACAUAAGGCACCUGCGCCAGAGAAACAGGGUCUGCUUGAACUGUCAUGUUCGCCUAGCGAACAUACCUUCGCCUAGCGAAGGACACGCUUCAACCUUCGCCCAGCGAGGUUGAGAGGUUUUGCUACUGGAUGGCUCGCUGGGGACUCGCUAGAGCUUCGCCUAGCGAGUGAGUGCUGGCUGCGCUUUUCACCAAAAUAGAAUGAACUCGCUACCACCUUC